GACGAACGCUGGCGGCGUGCUUAACACAUGCAAGUCGAACGAUGAACCACUUUGGUGGGGAUUAGUGGCGAACGGGUGAGUAACACGUGGGCAAUCUGCCCUUCACUCUGGGACAAGCCCUGGAAACGGGGUCUAAUACCGGAUACAACACUCUCGGGCAUCCGAUGAGUGUGGAAAGCUCCGGCGGUGAAGGAUGAGCC
This 200-nucleotide ribosomal RNA is filed under the name uncultured bacterium. Its description in RNAcentral is "partial 16S ribosomal RNA". It matches the Rfam family "Bacterial small subunit ribosomal RNA", at positions 28 to 231 of the family's 1533-position model. The record is from RNAcentral.